AACGAACGCUGGCGGCAUGCCUAACACAUGCAAGUCGAACGAGAUCUUCGGGUCUAGUGGCGCACGGGUGCGUAACGCGUGGGAAUCUGCCCUUUGGUUCGGAAUAACAGUUGGAAACGACUGCUAAUACCGGAUGAUGACGAAAGUCCAAAGAUUUAUCGCCAGAGGAUGAGUCCGCGUAGGAUUAGCUAGUUGGUGUGGUAAAGGCGCACCAAGGCGACGAUCCUUAGCUGGUCUGAGAGGAUGAUCAGCCACACUGGGACUGAGACACGGCCCAGACUCCUACGGGAGGCAGCAGUGAGGAAUAUUGGACAAUGGGCGAAAGCCUGAUCCAGCAAUGCCGCGUGAGUGAUGAAGGCCUUAGGGUUGUAAAGCUCUUUUACCCGGGAUGAUAAUGACAGUACCGGGAGAAUAAGCUCCGGCUAACUCCGUGCCAGCCGCCGCGGUAA
Molecule: ribosomal RNA, 449 nt
Filed under: uncultured bacterium
Lineage: Bacteria
Description: partial 16S ribosomal RNA
Rfam family: Bacterial small subunit ribosomal RNA
Source: RNAcentral